Molecule: long non-coding RNA, 1412 nt
Organism: Xenopus tropicalis (tropical clawed frog)
Lineage: Eukaryota; Metazoa; Chordata; Amphibia; Anura; Pipidae
Exons: 6
Source: RefSeq, a predicted model, not a curated record
UCUGUGUAUGUUAUAUAUAUAUAUAUAUUAAAAGAAGAGAUAAAAUAACUAAACAGAAUAAACAUGCGGCAACAGGGCAAAUAACGAGAAAUUCCCUGAUAUAAACGUCUUUCUCUGUAUUUCCACUUUCAUCCGGGAGGCGCCACCUCUUCCUUUUCUUUUUCCCCAUUCCUAUCCAGGUACUAAGGUGCUUACAGCGCCAUUCUGAGGGUUGGAAUUGGAAGCGCAAGAGAACGGACGGCUGCAGUUGGGAGAUUCUCCUUAUAAAACAUCACUGUGUAUGAGGGAAAUAUGCGGCCAAACGGGGGCCACAAGUGCCAGGGCCCAGGAGCGCAUUUAAAUGAGCUGAAGAGGAGGAUGAACAUCUAGAGAGAACCCUGGGGCAAAACAAAGGCAAAAUGGCUAAGAAGGAGGAGAAAUGUGCCAUCCAGGGAUCGCUGCAACCUGGCUAAUCCAACAUUCGGAAUCCUUUUACAAAGGGAAAUGGAACUUGGCCACUUUAUUAUUUAUUUUGUAUAAAGAUGCAAAGGCAAUUGGCUUCUCGCUGCUCAGAGCUCAUUAGUGAUCAGUUUAGAUACAUGAGCCGUGGCAGCUUGGGAAUCAGUGUAGUCUGCAACAUGCUCAGUACUGGGGCAGUUGUCUGGCCAAACAGGGUAGAGUCCCGGGAGGGUUCCUGUGUAUGUUAUAUAUAUAUAUAUAUUAAAAGGAGAGAUAAAAUAACUACACCGAAUAAACAUGCGGCACAAGGCAAAUAAUGAGAUGCCCAAUAUAAAUGUUUUUCUCUGUAUUUCCACUUUCAUCCAGGAGGCGCCACCUCUUCCUUUUCUUAUUCCCCAUUCCUAUCCAGGUACUAAGGUGCUUACAGCGCCAUUCUGAGGGUUGGAAUUGGAAGCGCAAGAGAACGGACGGCUGCAGUUGGGAGAUUCUCCUUAUAAAGCGUCACUGUGUAUGAGGGAAAUAUGCGGCCAAACGGGGGCCACAAGUGCCAGGGCCCAGGAGCGCAUUUAAAUGCUGAUGGCACAGUGGGUUCCCAUGGCAACAUUGAUGUCUUUAGACCACCCAUGUGGAAGCCUGCAGCUGAUGUCACAAUGGGUUCCCAUGGCAACACUGAUGUCACAAUACCAGCUGUGUGUGCGUAACUGUUACAACUUGGGGAAACACUUCAGAUUGCUUUUUAGAGCAGAAACGUAACGACCAUCUACCACAAUGGCGCCCAGAUUCUGUGAUUGUAUCCUGGACUGUGUGAGAGGUGUCUGCGCACCGUUCAGGUACAAGAAGAAGAAGCCUGGAAAGUUUGCCCAUAUGGAGACGGUCGUUUACGUGGCAAAGGACGAAUCCAUAACUUUUCUCCCAACGGGGACUAGUUAUUAGGAUUCGUAGGUAAGUAGUUAGGUAAGUAAUUAGGUUAGGAA